Molecule: ribosomal RNA, 765 nt
Filed under: Occidozyga cf. laevis KU 328892
Lineage: Eukaryota; Metazoa; Chordata; Amphibia; Anura; Dicroglossidae
Description: partial large subunit ribosomal RNA
Rfam family: Bacterial large subunit ribosomal RNA
Source: RNAcentral
UCUAUUUGUCAUCACUAACCCAUCAUCACUAUUGAAUAAAUUCAUAAAUUAUGAAAAUUACCAUGCUAGAACUAGUAACAAGAAAAUGUAUUUCUCCAAAGCGUAAGCAUAAGCCAAGACGGACAACCCUUUGGUAAUUAACGGCCUUGAGCCUAUUAUAGUAAAAUAUCUAGAAAACCCUAUAUCUUACACCGUUAACCUUACACAAGAACUCUCCUGGAAAGAUUAAAAGGAAGAGAAGGAACUCGGCAAAUCAUAACCCCGCCUGUUUACCAAAAACAUCGCCUCUUGCUGGAUAUAAGAGGUCUAGCCUGCCCAGUGUUUUAAUCAACGGCCGCGUGAUUUAAGCGCGCGAAGGUAGCGUAAUAAUUUGUUCUUUAAAUGAGGACUUGUAUCAAUGGCAUCACGAGGGUUAUACUGUCUCCUCUCCCCAAUCAGUGAAACUAAUCUCCCUGUGAAAAAGCAGGAAUAAACCAAUAAGACGAGAAGACCCCAUGGAGCUUAAAACACAGCAACAACCCUAAUUAGUUAAUCUAUAUAAUUUUAAGCCCUGUAUGCUAGUUUUAGGUUGGGGUGACCGCGGAGCAAAACAAAGCCUCCACAACGAAAAGGGCUUACACCCUUAUCCAAGAGACACACCUCUAAGAAUUAUAAUAAUAACGUAUAAUGAUCCGACCAUCGACCAACGGACCAAGUUACCCUGGGGAUAACAGCGCAAUCCACUUUAAGAGUCCUAUCGACGAGUGGGCUUACGACCUCGAUGUG